RNAcentral lists this long non-coding RNA (425 nucleotides) under Homo sapiens (human). RNAcentral's name for it is "non-protein coding lnc-NEPRO-3:2". The record is from RNAcentral. Lineage: Eukaryota; Metazoa; Chordata; Mammalia; Primates; Hominidae.
GACAAGAUCUGGACCAUUGAAGUGAAAACACGGUGGAAAGAGGGACCAAAAUGACCUUCCCCAAGCAAGGAAGGAGACCAAACCUCUAAAAACAUUCCAGCUGACAUCGUCUUUGUUUUAAAGGACAAGCCACAUAGUAUUUUUAAGAGAAAUGGCUCUGAUGUCAUCUAUCCUGCCAGGAUCAGCAUUUGGAAGGCUCUGUGUGGCUGCACAGUGAACAUCCCACUCUGGACGGAAAGACCAUACCCAUCGUUUUCAAGGAAGUCAUCAGGCCUGGCAUGCAGUGAAAAGCCCCUGGAGAAGACUUCCCUCUCCCUAAAGUGCCCAAGAAAUGUGGGGACUUCAUUAUUGAGUUUGAAGUGAUCUUCCCCUAAUGGAUUCCCCAGAUGUCAAGAACUGUACUUGAGCAGGUUCUUCCAAUAUAG